UUCUGCUGCUGUUAUAAGGUUAAACGUGGCAUAUGCUAGAGUCUUUUGUGGGAAGAUUUUACUAUUCACCCAAUCCGUGGCUUCUUUGGAGUUUUUGACAAUGUCUCCUUCGAUCUGUGUAUGUGCUAACAGCCUGGUGUGUGUGUUUCUCCAAAUUCAUCAUCUGGCACGAGUUGUAUAGAGUGACUAAUGCGUUAGCUUGGCUGUAGAUGGUGAGUUUGCUUCAUGUGAUUUCACGAGCUCUCUUAGAGAGCCUGCUUUAAAGGUUCUGUGCUUUUUAGGUGCUGACAAGUUCUGUCUUGGUUGGGGUGGGUGUUUUUACUAUAUUAAGUCAGUUCAGUUAUGGGGUUUUUGACUGAUUGGGUGUUCGCCAAUCAUCCUCACUGGUAUUCUUUAAUUCUUUUAAUACUAUUAAUAAAACUGCUUAAUUCAUAAGAUUAUAAAACAAAGAAAAAAAAGCAAAGGAAAAGGAGCGGAGCCAGCCCACUUAAUUGGCCAAGUUUAAUUGCAUUAAAAAAGAGGCUCCAAUAGCUCAUGCUUUCAUUCAAGUUAGGCGAUCAAUUAGUGGCGUGAAUUGCCUUCUAAUCAUCCAGUUUGAAUCUUGUUUUGCCUUGAAUGCUCAUUAUUUCUUCACAUGUUACCACCUCCCUCUAUUUUACAUUUUUAUAAUUCUCUGUUUUUUUCCUCACAGCCAAGGAAGGCAGAAGAGAAGAAGCAAUAAUUGUAGGCCAUGAUUUGAACCAUGUAAGUGCUUCGCAUGUCUUGAUUUUGAAACAAUAUUGCUUCUUUGUUGAUGCGUACUUGUGCUUUGAUACUGUUGCUGGAUAAAAUGCAGCCUGCUGUACUUUAUUAUCUGUAUAUUUUUCUUCAUUAUGAAUGCUUUAGUGUCACACCCGAGCCAUCUCCCA
RNAcentral lists this long non-coding RNA (908 nucleotides) under Populus tremula. RNAcentral describes it as "long non-coding RNA (PTRE_LNC000756)". The record is from RNAcentral. Lineage: Eukaryota; Viridiplantae; Streptophyta; Magnoliopsida; Malpighiales; Salicaceae.